RNAcentral lists this ribosomal RNA (506 nucleotides) under uncultured bacterium. Its description in RNAcentral is "partial 16S ribosomal RNA". It matches the Rfam family "Bacterial small subunit ribosomal RNA", at positions 29 to 523 of the family's 1533-position model. The record is from RNAcentral.
AGUGAACGCUGGCGGUAGGCCUAACACAUGCAAGUCGAACGGCAGCACAGGAGAGCUUGCUCUCUGGGUGGCGAGUGGCGGACGGGUGAGGAAUACAUCGGAAUCUACUCUGUCGUGGGGGAUAACGUGGGGAAACUUACGCUAAUACCGCAUACGACCUACGGGUGAAAGCAGGGGACCUUCGGGCCUUGCGCGAUUGAAUGAGCCGAUGUCGGAUUAGCUAGUUGGCGGGGUAAAGGCCCACCAAGGCGACGAUCCGUAGCUGGUCUGAGAGGAUGAUCAGCCACACUGGAACUGAGACACGGUCCAGACUCCUACGGGAGGCAGCAGUGGGGAAUAUUGGACAAUGGGCGCAAGCCUGAUCCAGCCAUACCGCGUGGGUGAAGAAGGCCUUCGGGCUGUAAAGCCCUUUUGUUGGGAAAGAAAUCCAGCUGGCUAAUACCCGGUUGGGAUGACGGCACCCAAAGAAUAAGCACCGGCUAACUUCGUGCCAGCCGCCGCCGUAA